GAUGAGUUUGUCUUUCUUUCUUUAUUUAUUAUGCAUACAGUGUUCUGCCUGCAAAUGUGCCUGCCAGAGGAGGGCACCAGAUCUCAUUGUAGAUGCUCAUGAGCCACCAUAUGGUUGCUGGAAAUUGAAUUUAGGACCUCAAGAAGAGCAGCUAGUUAUCUUAACCUCUGAGCCAUCUCUCCAACCCCAAGUUUGAAUUCUAGGUUCAGGGUAAGAACCUUUCUCCAAAAAAUAAGGUGAAGAAAUACUGAAGAAUGUACCUGGCAUUGAUUCCAUCCUCUACACACAAAUGAACAUGUAUUCAUGCACACACAGACAUGUGUGCACAUAGAAGAUUGUUAUUUCUGUGGGAAACAUGCUACCUUCAUUGUUGUUACAGUGUAUUCUGGGCAACAUGGCGGAAGGGUCAGCUGGGCUCCCUCUGGUUCCCAGCACUGUCAUCACCACCCACAUCUGAGCUCUCGUCACCCUCUCGUGAGCUUCCCUCUCAUUUUCUCUUUCUUUCCUAGAAGCCAGAAUAAGCUCUCUAAAAAGCUCCUCACCUGGUUAAGCCUAUAAGCUGCUCUGAUCCUUCACUGGCUUCCUCUGUUUACCUAGAAGUGUAUCCCCUACAUCUGUAGUAGAAGACCCACAUGGCUUCUGCGGGGUCUGGAUCCUGCCCCUCUAACCUUCCUGUAUUCGCUGUACUUUUUCAGGAGCACGCCAGACCCUCUGUCUGGGGCCAUGCUCUUUCUAGCUUCCAGUGUGCAUAUCCCAUCACGGACUUACCUCAGUGAGACCCACUAGCUCAAAUAAGCUGUGUCAAGCUGUAUGUAAGAGGAGCCCAACUUUGUGACUCCUGUGCACAGUUCUUUUACUUUCCUUGUUUAUAAGAUGGGAGUAAUAAUAAUAAAAGUACCUCCUAUGUGGGAUUCUGAAACACUUGGGGUUCUGCCCCAUACAUAGCAUGUUUGAUAAAUGUAUGUGUUUUGUUAAAUAGUAAUUCUCACAGUUAUUUCAAAAUCCAUCUUCUCCACCCCAAAUAUCUGUAUGAGUACUGGCUAAGUGUUUUCUUCUGCAACUUGAAUAUGGACUUAGGUGACAGGGCUGUAUUUAUUUAAUUAGCAUUCAGAAGUCACAGGCCUCAUCAGAUAACAUGGCAGACAUUCAUAUAAACCUGUGAGCCAUGGUAACUAGGUCUGACAGUAGAAAGACGUCUACUACUCAUGGUGAAGUAAAAUAAGGAAUUGUAGAUUUUUUGAAAAUAUUUUCUGUCUGUCUGUUCAAUAUGUGUGGGUGGAAGAAGUCUAUAUGGGCUAUUUAACAAGACAUGGCCGCAUUUCAUGCUGAGGCUGUGCUGUGUAUGCUGAAUGGACGCAUGCAGGAAGUGCAUGUGGUCUUUCUUUGGCAUUUUCCCUGCAGAAAGUGAGCAUUCUGUAAUCUUUCACUUGUUUUCAUUCUCAGUAAGUACUGCCCAGCUGGCUGUCUUUUGCCUUUUGCUGAAAUAUCUGGAACAAUUCCUCAUGGAUACAGAGAUGUAAGUUGAAUACAGACGGACUUCGCUGCUGUGGAUACUGUUAUUUUAAACUCAGAAACGCUUAGGAUGCCACCUGGUUGUCCCAAGAUGAAUAUGACUUCUGUGUCUCUGUUUUUUCAUAUAUGUCUGACAUCUUUAUAGUAAAACUAACUCAUGCUAAGAAUGUGUUUUGUUACAGUAACCUAUGUUUCUGAGAUCAGAAUAUGUUUUGAGAAAGAAUAAGUAUCUUGCUUAUGAAUAAUCUGGAAAAGUUUUCAUUUUGUUAUUUUGUUUGUUGUUUGCUUUUUCAAGUCUUCACCAUUGUGUAUGGCUGGAAUCCAUGCAGGAGUAGUGUCAAACGUGCUGGGUGGCCAAAUCAGCAUUGUGAUUAGCAAAGGGACCCCAUAUUAUGAAAGCUCUUUGGCCAACAAUGUCACUUCCACGGUGUAAGUGCAAAUACUCUUUGUAGUAAGCAUGCUGCUUUCUUUUAUGUAAUUAUCUGUACAUCCUUUCAUUCUUUUCUGUGUUCUGCCCUCUAGAGAGAGUUUGGGGUAUGUGCCAUUUUCUUUCAUAUGUAAAAAAGUAUAUAUUUUUCAGCAUUUUAAGAGUUGACAGUAGGUUAUGUGCCAAUAUUGUACCAUCUUAUAUAAAAUAUGUGGACAUUUGCUGAUUUCAUAUCUGUCAGGGAAUAUGGGAAGUCCUGGGACUGGGACCCAUAGAUAUCAAGGAACAGCUGCAUGAGUGUGUAGGUUUCUGGUGGAAUCCAAGAUGGGUGUGGCGGUGCGUGCUUGCAAUCCCCAUGCCUAGGCCAUAGAAGCAAGAGGAUGGGGGGAGUUCACAGUCGAGUUAAGCUAAUUAGUGAUUUCAAUGUCAGGGAAGGCUGUGAGAGAUACUGCCUCAAACAAAAUUAAAAAAUACUUUGCAUCUCUCUUCUGACUGUUUGAACAUCAUGUUAAGGGCAGGGCGUAACUGAACACCCUCCAGGUCUCCUGGAGUCUUAAGUGUUCUUGGGUCCCCAGGCAAGGGAGUUCUUCUCUUGUCUGACCCUUCCUCCUUCUCAGCUCACUCACAGACAGGCUCAUUUUCUCCAAGGGAAAUGCAGUAGCCAGCUCUGGUGUGUUUACCAGGAGACUUGAGUCUCACCUCGUUCUCUGAAAACACACGUCUUCAUGUUCUUUCACAGCAGG
This 2682-nucleotide long non-coding RNA is filed under the name Mus musculus (house mouse). Its description in RNAcentral is "long non-coding RNA chr16:58447008-58449690". Lineage: Eukaryota; Metazoa; Chordata; Mammalia; Rodentia; Muridae. The record is from RNAcentral.